UGUGACUCUCUCCUGUCAGUUGUAUUGUGAUCUAAUCUCUUGUGAUUCUUUGGUCCGUGAUGAAGUUCAGCUGAUCUGGGUGAAUCAGUUUGGUGUGAAUCUACAGACAGACUCCAGAUAUCAGAUCUCAUUCUCCUCAGAACACUGUAACAUCUCUCUGACUACAAAACUCCAGAAUGAAGAUCUCAACAGAGAGUGGAGAUGUGAGGUUACUCAGAGAAAUCAACCGAAGACCUCGGUCACGUAUACUGUCAAGUAUUCAGCUGCAGUCGAUUCAACAAAACCGCUCCCAGUCAAGAAUAAACCAAGACAAACUACACGACCAGCUGCAGUCGAUUCAACAAAACCGAUUCCAGUCAGCAGCUCCGAGAAGAAACCAAGACAAACUAAACCAGCA
Molecule: long non-coding RNA, 397 nt
Organism: Puntigrus tetrazona (Sumatra barb)
Lineage: Eukaryota; Metazoa; Chordata; Actinopteri; Cypriniformes; Cyprinidae
Exons: 3
Source: RefSeq, a predicted model, not a curated record